RNAcentral lists this non-coding RNA (28 nucleotides) under Homo sapiens (human). Lineage: Eukaryota; Metazoa; Chordata; Mammalia; Primates; Hominidae. The record is from RNAcentral.
UAGCACUGAGGAGCCAUGGGUUCUGGAC